RNAcentral lists this ribosomal RNA (423 nucleotides) under uncultured bacterium. RNAcentral's name for it is "bacterial SSU rRNA". It matches the Rfam family "Bacterial small subunit ribosomal RNA", at positions 355 to 775 of the family's 1533-position model. The record is from RNAcentral.
UAAGGAAUAUUGGUCAAUGGACGCAAGUCUGAACCAGCCAUGCCGCGUGGAGGAUGAAGGUCCUCUGGAUUGUAAACUUCUUUUAUUUGGGAAGAAACCCAUAGUUUCUACUGUGGUUGACGGUACCAGAUGAAUAAGCACCGGCUAACUCCGUGCCAGCAGCCGCGGUAAUACGGAGGGUGCAAGCGUUAUCCGGAUUCACUGGGUUUAAAGGGUGCGUAGGUGGGCAGGUAAGUCAGUGGUGAAAUCCCCAAGCUUAACUUGGGAACUGCCAUUGAUACUAUUUGUCUUGAAUACCGUGGAGGUGAGCGGAAUAUGUCAUGUAGCGGUGAAAUGCUUAGAUAUGACAUAGAACACCAAUUGCGAAGGCAGCUUGCUACGCGGAUAUUGACACUGAUGCACGAAAGCGUGGGGAUCAAACAG